GACGAACGCUGGCGGCGUGCCUAAUACAUGCAAGUCGAACGCAGUGGGGACGGGUGAGUAACACGUGGGUAACCUCCCAUCAGAGGGGAUAACACUUGGAAACAGGUGCUAAACCGAUACUGAUGGAUGGACCCGCGGUGCAUUAGCUAGUUGGUGAGGUAACGGCUCACCAAGGCCACGAUGCAUAGCGCACCGGAGGGGGUGAUCGGCCAGCCUGGAAGUGGGACAGGCCCCAGACUCCGUCGGGAGGCAGCAGUAGGGAAUCUUCGGCAAUGGACGAAGUUCUGACCGAGCAACGCCGCGUGAGUGAAGAAGUUUUGCGGAGCGUAAAACUCUGUUGUUAGAGAAGCGGUAUCUAACCAGAAAGCCACUGCUAACUACGGGCCAGCAGCCGCGUUAUUAC
This 403-nucleotide ribosomal RNA is filed under the name uncultured bacterium. RNAcentral's name for it is "partial 16S ribosomal RNA". It matches the Rfam family "Bacterial small subunit ribosomal RNA", at positions 28 to 526 of the family's 1533-position model. The record is from RNAcentral.